GACCAAGCGGUCCGGGUUUGCCUGGGACUGAGCAGGUGCCUGGGUGAGAGGCACUCGGGGAGUAAAUCUGAGGGAGG
Molecule: microRNA precursor, 77 nt
Organism: Ochotona princeps (American pika)
Lineage: Eukaryota; Metazoa; Chordata; Mammalia; Lagomorpha; Ochotonidae
Source: Ensembl